This 244-nucleotide ribosomal RNA is filed under the name uncultured bacterium. RNAcentral's name for it is "partial small subunit ribosomal RNA". It matches the Rfam family "Bacterial small subunit ribosomal RNA", at positions 26 to 285 of the family's 1533-position model. The record is from RNAcentral.
AGAAUCAACGCUGGCGGCGUGCCUAACACAUGCAAGUCGCACGAGAAAGGGACUUCGGUCCUGAGUAAAGUGGCGCACGGGUGAGUAACACGUGAAUAAUCUACCUCCGAGUGGGGAAUAACUGAGAGAAAUCUAGCUAAUACCGCAUAAUACCCACGGGUCAAAGCAGCAAUGCGCUUGGAGAGGAGUUCGCGGCCGAUUAGCUAGUUGGCGGGGUAAUGGCCCACCAAGGCGAUGAUCGGUA